ACCCCAGUACUGGUCCAAGCCCUGAAGACUGCACCCAGGAAAGUGGAGGUAUGGACAGAGGCAGCCGGUGCCUGAGGAAGCUCCACGGGGCAGGCAAGGCCCCCACGUCCAGUCUCAGCCCCUCUUUUGGCCACAUGCCGGAGAAGGAAAUUUUGUGCCUUGAAUAAUGAAUUCCCCUGGAGCCCACGGUACCUGUACUUCUCUUUAGUGUCCACUGAGAAUAACGUGUUCGACAUUCAAGUGACAACACUGGAAAGCAUUUCAAAGCCCUGGAGCCCCAGAACGCUGUACACCCCGACGGCUCUUCUGCCUGCCCUCUCUUUGGCUUCCAAAUGCAGCAAGCUCUUUCUUUACUUAAAAUGUGUUCAUCUUUCACACGCAUCCUGGAUGUACCACAGAAAGACAGUACAGAUAGGUAGGCUCUUAUUUCUGAAGCUGAGCUGGUCCCGCCCAGCACAAAGCUUUAAAGCUGCUAAGUCUCCAGGAUAUUAUCCAGUUUUUAAAAAUGGAAAAACUGGGAACAGGGAGGCUCAAUAUCUUGUCCCAGGCCCAAACAAGCUUUUCUGGAGUCAGUAUCAUUCAACUGGCUCAGGCUGGAUUUUCAUAAGAAAAGAUAAUAAACAUUUACUAAUGUAAUAAAAUAGACACCUUUUAAGUCACAAGCAGUAUCCAAACCUUUGGGACAUUCUAUGGUGCUGAACAGCUAUUUCAUAGAGGCUUUAUGUUAAGGAGCAAGUGCAGAAAAAAAUCUGAAAAUCUCAGUAAGAUGAGAAAACGAAAGCUUUACAAAAUGGUAGAAGAAAGUAGUCUCUCAUGCCUAAACUUCCAAAUAAGUUUUUGUUUGUUUGUUUUUGGGUUUUUAGUUGAGCAUUCUUUCUGGUUUGAAAUAGAUUCAGAAGGCUUUUUAAAACAAGUCACUUUUGGCCAAAUAUAUUAAGGUAUAACCAAAUGAUACCAUAGAUCCAUUUAGAAAACAGAAAGUUCUUUACUGACAUGAAAGGAUUUCUAAGACAUAUUCAUAAGUAAAAAAGCAAAUAUACUACUAUUUGUAUGGGAUGAAAAAAUAAAAGAAACAUGUAUAUACAUACUUGUUUGUAUAUGCAUAGACUAUCUCUCUGGGUGGAUGUUGCCUUUUAAGGGGGGAAGGCUGAGGUGGGAGGACAGAGUUUCUCUCCUUUAUCUAAAUCAGGGGUGUCCAAUCUUUUGGCUUCCCUGGGAUAUAUUGGAAGAAGAAGAAUUGUCUUGGGCCACACAUAAAAUACACUAACGAUAGCUGAUGAGCUAAAAAAAUGCAAAAAAAUCUCACAGUGUUUUUAGAAAGUUUCUGAAUUUGUGUUGGGCCACAUAUGGCCUUGAGGGCCACAGGUUGGACAAGCUUAAUCUAAAUCCUUUGUUAUUUCAGUUUUAAACAAUGUAAAUGAAUUGUUUGCUUAAAAAAUAAAUUAAAUGUAAUAAGUAUUAAUAUCAUUCAAGUGAUAACACAGCCAAGGAAUGACAAGGGUUAACUGAUAAUCCUGAUUUUUACAGGUAAUUGUGGUCAUUACUUCUACAUCUUUUAUCAUGUCUUUUAACCACUUGCCAAAGGAGGCGCUGAUGUGGAGUUUUCUCCUCUGCCUGCCCUCUGCUCUGCUCUAACACAGGCCCAAAUAGGCAGGGAAAUGACCCCGCAAUGGGUAUAGGAAAAAAUAGAAAAAGGAAACAAAGACUAGGUUUAAUCAACAAGUUAACAAAGGACAGCUGACUGCACUCAUUUACUUUCUGAGCUAGGACAUUUUCUUCGUGUCCUGAGAACUAUUUCAGGACUUUUUUUAAGUCCCUACUUAUUAACAUUCUAAGAGCUCUGAACUGAAAUGCAGAGAACC
This 1862-nucleotide long non-coding RNA is filed under the name Pan troglodytes (chimpanzee). Its description in RNAcentral is "lncRNA (ENSPTRG00000054042.1)". The record is from RNAcentral. Lineage: Eukaryota; Metazoa; Chordata; Mammalia; Primates; Hominidae.